UCGUACGCACUGGCCCAGCUGAUUGAUGGUGCUUGCACCUGAUUGACGAUGGAUCACCAGUGAGUGGCGGACGGGUGAGUAACACGUAGGUAACCUGCCCCGGAGCGGGGGAUAACAUUUGGAAACAGAUGCUAAUACCGCAUAACAACAAAAGCCACAUGGCUUUUGUUUGAAAGAUGGCUUUGGCUAUCACUCUGGGAUGGACCUGCGGUGCAUUAGCUAGUUGGUAAGGUAACGGCUUACCCAGGCGAUGAUGCAUAGCCGAGUUGAGAGACUGAUCGGCCACAAUGGAACUGAGACACGGUCCAUACUCCUACGGGAGGCAGCAGUAGGGAAUCUUCCACAAUGGGCGCAAGCCUGAUGGAGCAACACCGCGUGAGUGAAGAAGGGUUUCGGCUCGUAAAGCUCUGUUGUUGGAGAAGAACGUGCGUGAGAGUAACUGUUCACGCAGUGACGGUAUCCAACCAGAAAGUCACGGCUAACUACGUGCCAGCAGCCGCGGUAAUACGUAGGUGGCAAGCGUUAUCCGGAUUUAUUGGGCGUAAAGCGAGCGCAGGCGGUUGCUUAGGUCUGAUGUGAAAGCCUUCGGCUUAACCGAAGAAGUGCAUCGGAAACCGGGCGACUUGAGUGCAGAAGAGGACAGUGGAACUCCAUGUGUAGCGGUGGAAUGCGUAGAUAUAUGGAAGAACACCAGUGGCGAAGGCGGCUGUCUGGUCUGCAACUGACGCUGAGGCUCGAAAGCAUGGGUAGCGAACAGGAUUAGAUACCCUGGUAGUCCAUGCCGUAAACG
RNAcentral lists this ribosomal RNA (790 nucleotides) under uncultured bacterium. Its description in RNAcentral is "bacterial SSU rRNA". It matches the Rfam family "Bacterial small subunit ribosomal RNA", at positions 49 to 808 of the family's 1533-position model. The record is from RNAcentral.